Molecule: unclassified non-coding RNA, 243 nt
Filed under: Hevea brasiliensis (rubber tree)
Lineage: Eukaryota; Viridiplantae; Streptophyta; Magnoliopsida; Malpighiales; Euphorbiaceae
Source: RNAcentral
GGAAAUUAUUUUGAAUAUGUUUUGAAACCACAAUUGACAUGGCAAUGUGAUUUGUGCUCCUCAUUAGCUUGCCUAGUGAGAUGAUAUUUGAUGUGAUCUCCUCCACUUGUGGGGUUGAGCUUCCCUUUCUGGCUUGUCAAUUGAGGUUGAUUCAGAUAAGUACUUAUUAGCUAGCUAGCCUUUGGUGCCUCCCUUUAACCUCGGUUACUAGGGGGAGUGUGCUUUGUCGUGGUAUACAAUACG